AGAGUUUGAUCCUGGCUCAGGAUGAACGCUAGCUACAGGCUUAACACAUGCAAGUCGAGGGGCAGCAUGAAUCAAGCUUGCUUGAUUUGAUGGCGACCGGCGCACGGGUGCGUAACGCGUAUCCAAUCUACCCACGGCCCGGGGAUAGCCUUGCGAAAGUAAGAUUAACACCCGAUGGUCUCGGGGAGCCGCAUGACUCCCUGAGUAAAGUUUUACGGCAGUGGAUGUGGAUGCGUCCGAUUAGCUAGUUGGCGGGGUAACGGCCCACCAAGGCUACGAUCGGUAGGGGUUCUGAGAGGAAGGUCCCCCACACUGGAACUGAGACACGGUCCAGACUCCUACGGGAGGCAGCAGUGAGGAAUAUUGGUCAAUGGGCGAGAGCCUGAACCAGCCAAGUAGCGUGAGGGAAGACGGCCCUAUGUGUUGUAAACCUCUUUUUCCGGGGAAUAACCGUCGGCACGCGUGCCGGUCUGCAUGUACCCGGAGAAUAAGCAUCGGCUAAUUCCGUGCCAGCAGCCGCGGUAAUACGGAAGAUGCGGGCGUUAUCCGGAUUUAUUGGGUUUAAAGGGAGCGUAGGCGGAGCGUCAAGCCAGCGGUCAAAUGUCAUCGCCCAACGAUGGCCUGCCGUUGGAACUGGCGCCCUUGAAUGCGGUCAAGGGAGGCGGAACUCGCCAUGUAGCGGUGAAAUGCUUAGAUAUGGCGAAGAACCCCGAUUGCGAAGGCAGCCUCCUGCCCGUGAUUGACGCUGAGGCUCGAAGGCGCGGGUAUCGAACAGGAUUAGAUACCCUGGUAGUCCGCGCCGUAAACGAUGAGUGCUGGUCAUGCGCGACAUGCUGUGUGUGACUGAGGGAAACCAUUAAGCACUCCACCUGGGGAGUACGCCGGCAACGGUGAAACUCAAAGGAAUUGACGGGGGCCCGCACAAGCGGAGGAACAUGUGGUUUAAUUCGAUGAUACGCGAGGAACCUUACCCGGAUUUGAAUUGCUGAGGACGGGAGCGGAGAAGCUCCUUCCCUUCGGGGCUUCAGUGAAGGUGCUGCAUGGUUGUCGUCAGCUCGUGCCGUGAGGUGUCGGCUUAAGUGCCAUAACGAGCGCAACCCCUGCCGCCAGUUGCCAUCGGAUAGUGCCGGGCACUCUGGCGGGACUGCCAUCGCAAGAUGCGAGGAGGGUGGGGAUGACGUCAAAUCAGCACGGCCCUUACGUCCGGGGCUACACACGUGUUACAAUGGGGGGCACAGCGAGCAGCUUGCCGGCGACGGCUGGCCAAUCUUGAAAUCCCCUCUCAGUUCGGACUGGAGUCUGCAACCCGACUCCACGAAGCUGGAUUCGCUAGUAAUCGCGCAUCAGCCAUGGCGCGGUAAAUACGUUCCCGGGCCUUGUACUCAAAGCCCGUCAAG
Molecule: ribosomal RNA, 1397 nt
Filed under: uncultured bacterium
Lineage: Bacteria
Description: bacterial SSU rRNA
Rfam family: Bacterial small subunit ribosomal RNA
Source: RNAcentral